AAAACGAAAGGAAUUUUUGUUCAGCUACUAUAAAUGUUGGUGAAAGCAGAUAUCGCUUUAUCAUUAAAAAAAUUGAUUAAAAGUGGCUGCCAUCGGUAGUUUACCUCAUAAACUCAAACAAUCACAGUAACAAACAAAAACGAAACGAUUGUCAAAUUGCUAAAAUUUGUCAAACUUUAGGAAAAACCUCUACGAAAGACUGACUUCGAUGUAAAACAUUAGAUGAUAUUAAAUUGCCAGUUUUUGCAGAACAGUUUCUUUCGUGUGGUCCAAAAGAUCCUAUUAAGGAUAAGUUUAAUAAAUUUCAUUUUCAGACCGAUAUUGACAAUAUGGUAGGAAACCUGCGUGAGAAUAGAGGGGGAAAACUAUGCGAAAGUGAAGCCUCGGCAAAGUGUUACGCAAGGAACAUCAUGGAAAAACUAAUUAAUGUCACUAAGCAACACUAAUUCAACAGCGUCUGGUUCGUAUCAAGAAAUGGAUGUCAUACAGGCUGAAGUGGGCAUUGAGGCAAACGCUGAAGAGCAAAAUUUAGAAGCGAAGAUUGCUGCAGUCACACUUAAUUGUGACAUUUGCAAAAAGUUUUCAACGUCAAGUUUUAGAGUCUACAGUGCGCAUGUGAAAAAACACCAACAGGAUAAUGAUUUUGUCGUGGAUAUAGCCUUAAAAAAGCAAGUCAGAUCAGGGCGGGUAAGAAGAAAACACAACAUUGGCUCUCGAAGCAAAAAGUUUCGUUUGCAUUCUACCAAUUUAACGUUGAACGCUCAACUUAGUAAUUCACAGUUAGUUUUACCUAAAACUGCGAAGCUAGUAUGUCCGCAUUGUAAGUUCACCGCUGAUAAGUUUUCGAACUUGAGCAUUCACGUCAAGAGAAAACACACUAAUUUGAUUCAGCCACAGUCGUUUAUGUGUCAACGCUGUCAUUUUUCCGCUGCUUCACGGCAAUUAUUGCAGGCCCAUCUUAAUGAAUUAAGUCACUACGAGCGGAAAUGCCAAAUAUGUAAUGAGGCUUUUGAAGGGAAUUCGCAAUAUCUGGAUCAUCUCGGACUUCACUUCAGUGGAAUUUCUGUGUCACCGAUAAAAUGUUCUGGUACUGAAAAUGUGGAAUCGAAGAAAGUUAGUAGUCUACACGAUGCUCUAAAAGAAGCUGCUCUACUUGAGUCUGAAGUUCGUACUAAUGCUUCUUCGUGGUUUUUCUCCAAAGGUAAAAGCAGGAGUCUCCCAUUGGUUCAAGAUAUAUCCCCUUCCGUUUUCAACAGCUCACUUACUUCAAGAAUAUGCAGCGCGCCCAGUUCAAAAACAACAAUGAUGGAGGAAUCGGACGUGAAAAUGGAUAUGCAACCUUCUGUGCUUGGAGCUGCAACAGAAACUGAAAUGUGCAUCGACUCCGUAACAUGUAACGUGGAAACGCAAACGGAGGGAGCUACCACAGCUAAAAUGUCAACAAAUGAGCUCAUUCGAGGCACAGAAAUGAGCUCAGAAAUUUCUACGAAGGCU
Molecule: long non-coding RNA, 1494 nt
Organism: Symsagittifera roscoffensis
Lineage: Eukaryota; Metazoa; Xenacoelomorpha; Acoela; Convolutidae
Exons: 3
Source: RefSeq, a predicted model, not a curated record